Molecule: non-coding RNA, 104 nt
Organism: Clostridium sp. KLE 1755
Lineage: Bacteria; Bacillati; Bacillota; Clostridia; Eubacteriales; Clostridiaceae
Source: Rfam
GAUGCACGCUAGGGGAGCCGAUUGCUGAGACUGAAACCGAUGGUUUCUGACCCUUACCACUUGACCCGGGUAAUACCGGCGUAAGGAAGCACCUUUGUAAAAGC